RNAcentral lists this ribosomal RNA (133 nucleotides) under bacterium 081657. RNAcentral describes it as "partial 16S rRNA". It matches the Rfam family "Bacterial small subunit ribosomal RNA", at positions 355 to 507 of the family's 1533-position model. The record is from RNAcentral.
UGGGGAAUAUUGGACAAUGGGCGCAAGCCUGAUCCAGCCAUGCCGCGUGAUGAUGAAGGCCUUCGGGUUGUAAAGCUCUUUCGCACACGACGAUGAUGACGGUAGUGUGAGAAAAGCCCCGGCUAACUUCGUG